GCCAUGCCCUAGGUUCUCCGGUUCUGACCUACUGUACAUAUCUCCUCACCCUUCUGAGGUUCCAUUUUUAUCAACACUGCACAUGUCCUACUGUUGUCACUACACACACACACACAAACACACACACAGCUUGCUACCAUCCUCUAGAGCCUGCACACCACACCGGCCUGUACACUACACACAGGGCGCCCCCAUACAGAAUUCCCCAAAAGAGCUCCUUGACUCCCUCCCAGGAGGUGGGGCCUGAGAUCCCGCCCCCGGCAAGCUAAGAUGAGCUGACCUCAGGCUUCCCUGCCCCUUUUCUUCCCUCCCGCUGUCUUUCCCCAACGCCCACCCCCAGCUUCAGGAAACUUUUCAUCAGGUCCCUAAAAGGGGAAACCCGGGGUUCCUCGAGCUCUGCCCUACCCCCAGACUCACGCAAGCCGCCCCCCCUUCCCCAGCUGGGCUCUCGCCCCGCACCCAGUGGGGAAAGGUCACCGUAGGCAGUCCCCUGCCAGCACCCUGGGAGGAGGGAGCGUGGCAGUAACAGCUGUCACCAAGGGAUGGGAAAGGUGCCGGCCCUGUAUCGAGCCGGGAGUGCACAGGGGUCGGGGUGACGCGCCGGGGUGAGUCGAGAAGCCGAGGCGGCGGCAGCUGCAUCUCCGGAGUCUGGGGCGGCGGCCGCGCCCGGAGCUGUGGCGCGUGGAGCUGUCCGUUCAGCACCACCGCGCUGCACCCCUGCGCAGGGCCAAGCCGAGGCGCCCCGGCUCCGCUCCCGCUCCGGCUCCCGCAGGCGCCUGCGGCGCGGGCUGUUGUCUCUCUCGGGGGCUGAGGGCAAGCGAAGAGAGAGGGGGCUCUGCGAGCGGCGGGGCCACGCAGCCACCUGUGAGCCUCCCGCAACUGCGGGCGGCGGAGGCAUCUCCGGCCGGAGACAGGAGGAGACGCUUGGCGGACCCCGCCCGCCGACCCGCCGGGCGCACACACAGGCGCACACACAUUCGCACCCGCGCGCACACGCACAGCCAGCCGGCAGCGGCGACCGCAGCGAUGCUAACAAGCAGGUCGGGGAAGUUUCCCGCCGGCCUCCGCCGCGGGCCCCCAUGCUCGCAGGUGUAGCGCCCCCGCGCGGCACG
This 1112-nucleotide long non-coding RNA is filed under the name Ailuropoda melanoleuca (giant panda). RNAcentral's name for it is "lncRNA (ENSAMEG00000024864.1)". Lineage: Eukaryota; Metazoa; Chordata; Mammalia; Carnivora; Ursidae. The record is from RNAcentral.